This 564-nucleotide ribosomal RNA is filed under the name uncultured Glomeromycotina. RNAcentral describes it as "SSU rRNA". It matches the Rfam family "Eukaryotic small subunit ribosomal RNA", at positions 548 to 1114 of the family's 1831-position model. The record is from RNAcentral. Lineage: Eukaryota; Fungi; Glomeromycota.
UUGGAGGGCAAGUCUGGUGCCAGCAGCCGCGGUAAUUCCAGCUCCAAUAGCGUAUAUUAAAGUUGUUGCAGUUAAAAAGCUCGUAGUUGAAUUUCGGGAUCAGAGUGUCGGUCGUGCCUCGGUACGCACUGGUAUUAUUGGUUCCUACCUUCUGAAGAACCGCGAUGUCAUUAAUUUGGUGUCGUGGGGAAUCAGGACUGUUACUUUGAAAAAAUUAGAGUGUUUAAAGCAGGCUUACGCUUGAAUACAUUAGCAUGGAAUAAUGAAAUAGGACGUUUAAUUCUAUUUUGUUGGUUUCUAGGAUUGACGUAAUGAUUAAUAGGGAUAGUUGGGGGCAUUAGUAUUCAAUUGUCAGAGGUGAAAUUCUUGGAUUUAUUGAAGACUAACUACUGCGAAAGCAUUUGCCAAGGAUGUUUUCAUUAAUCAAGAACGAAAGUUAGGGGAUCGAAGACGAUCAGAUACCGUCGUAGUCUUAACCAUAAACUAUGCCGACUAGGGAUCGGAUGAUGUUAAUUUUUUAAUGACUCAUUCGGCGCCUUACGGGAAACCAAAGUGUUUGGGUUC